GACGAACGCUGGCGGCGUGCUUAACACAUGCAAGUCGAACGGAAAGGCCCUGCUUUUGUGGGGUGCUCGAGUGGCGAACGGGUGAGUAACACGUGAGUAACCUGCCCUUGACUUUGGGAUAACUUCAGGAAACUGGGGCUAAUACCGGAUAGGAGCUCCUGCUGCAUGGGGGGGGUUGGAAAGUUUCGGCGGUUGGGGAUGGACUCGCGGCUUAUCAGCUUGAUGGUGGGGUAGUGGCUUACCAAGGCUUUGACGGGUAGCCGGCCUGAGAGGGUGACCGGCCACAUUGGGACUGAGAUACGGCCCAGACUCCUACGGGAGGCAGCAGUGGGGAAUAUUGCACAAUGGGCGGAAGCCUGAUGCAGCAACGCCGCGUGCGGGAUGACGGCCUUCGGGUUGUAAACCGCUUUCGCCUGUGACGAAGCGUGAGUGACGGUAAUGGGUAAAGAAGCACCGGCUAACUACGUG
Molecule: ribosomal RNA, 468 nt
Filed under: uncultured bacterium
Lineage: Bacteria
Description: partial 16S ribosomal RNA
Rfam family: Bacterial small subunit ribosomal RNA
Source: RNAcentral